Molecule: ribosomal RNA, 391 nt
Filed under: Chrysophyceae sp.
Lineage: Eukaryota; Chrysophyceae
Description: partial small subunit ribosomal RNA
Rfam family: Eukaryotic small subunit ribosomal RNA
Source: RNAcentral
AUUCCAGCUCCAAUAGCGUAUACUAAAGUUGUUGCAGUUAAAAAGCUCGUAGUUGAAUUUCUGGUCUUGGACAGCGGUCUGCCUCAAACGAGGUACGCACCAUCUAUCCGAGUCCAUCCUCGGGGAAAACAUGUCUGUGAUUCAGUUCAUGGGCAUGGGAUCCUCGUCAUUUACUGUGAGCAAAAUAGAGUGUUCAAAGCAGGCUUAUGCCGUUGAAUAUUUUAGCAUGGAAUAAUAAGAUAAGACCUUGGUCUAUUUUGUUGGUUUGUACUCCAAGGUAAUGAUUAAUAGGGACAGUUGGGGGUAUUCGUAUUCAAUUGUCAGAGGUGAAAUUCUUGGAUUUAUUGAAGACGAACUACUGCGAAAGCAUUUACCAAGGAUGUUUUCAUUG